UACGUAGGGAGCAAGCGUUGUCCGGAUUUACUGGGUGUAAAGGGCGUGUAGGCGGGAUGGUAGGUCUGAUGUGAAAGCCCGAGGCUCAACCUCGGAACUGCAUUGGAAACCAUCAUUCUUGAGUGGUGGAGAGGCAGACGGAAUUCCUAGUGUAGCGGUGAAAUGCGUAGAUAUUAGGAGGAACACCAGUGGCGAAGGCGGUCUGCUGGCCAUUUACUGACGCUGAGGCGCGAAAGCGUGGGGAGCAAACAGG
Molecule: ribosomal RNA, 253 nt
Filed under: uncultured bacterium
Lineage: Bacteria
Description: partial 16S ribosomal RNA
Rfam family: Bacterial small subunit ribosomal RNA
Source: RNAcentral